CAAAGGCCUGUGGGAUGAGUUGGGCACAAUGUGCACAAAUCAUGGGCAGAGAUGUGUGUGUGCUGCUAAAAAUGGAAUAAUUCAGGAAGAUGAUGAAAAAAAGGUAUUCCAAUUUCUUAUGGGGCUAAAUGAAGCAUACAUAGGGGUUAGGAGUAACUUGUUGAUGAUGCAGUCAUUUCCUUCCCUUGACAAUGUUUACAAUAUAGUGCUUAAUGAUGAGAAACAGAGACAAGUUCAAUCUAUUUCUCAAAUCAGUCCAGACUCUAUGUCUUUUAAUGCUAAUACGGCAGAGAUGUGUGUGUGCUGCUAAAAAUGGAAUAAUUGAGGAAGAUGAUGAAAACAAGGUAUUCCAGUUUCUUAUAGGGUUAAAUGAAGCAUACAUGGGGGUUAGGAGUAAUCCGUUGAUGAUGCAGUCAUUUCCUUCCCUUGACAAUGUUUACAAUAUAGUGCUUAAUGAUGAGAAACAGAGACAAGUUCAAUCUAUUUCCCAAAUCAUUCCAGACUAUAUGUCUUUUAAUGCUAAUUCAAAUAAGCACUCAGUUGGGUUUAAUCAGGCCAUAGUGCCUAGUCCCCCUGUUUUCAGACCCAGAGUUAAUUUCGAGCAAAGAAGAGGGCCCUUAUUUUGCAGAUACUGCAAGAAAUCUGGGCACUUAAUUGAUAAGUGCUCUAAGAUUCAUGUGUUUCCUCAAAAUAUCAAAUNNNNNNNNNNNNNUUGUAGAUACUGCAAGAAAUCUGGGCACUUAAUUGAUAAGUGCUAUAAGAUUCAUGGGUUUCCUCAAAAUAUCAAAUACAACAAGGGAAGGAAAUCUGUUGCUGCUCAUGUCUCCACUGGUGAGGAAAGUGUGUCUAUUAAUCAUGGGAAUCUUAAUAUGUCUGUUCCUCUUGGGGAUCCUCCUGCCAGCCAUCACCAUAUUACAAAAAUAGAUGGCCAAAGUUCUAUGAUACCAGGGUUGAUCAGACAACAAUAUGAUCAAUUGAUGAGCUUGUUGCAACAGACCCGUUAGGGGAUUCCAGUGCUCAGGAUCCUCCUCCCAUGUAUGCUGCUAAUUUUGCUGGUACUAUGUUGACUGAGAGUCUUGUUUCUG
This 1085-nucleotide long non-coding RNA is filed under the name Nicotiana benthamiana. Its description in RNAcentral is "long non-coding RNA (NBEN_LNC018404)". Lineage: Eukaryota; Viridiplantae; Streptophyta; Magnoliopsida; Solanales; Solanaceae. The record is from RNAcentral.